Molecule: long non-coding RNA, 401 nt
Organism: Vigna angularis (adzuki bean)
Lineage: Eukaryota; Viridiplantae; Streptophyta; Magnoliopsida; Fabales; Fabaceae
Exons: 3
Source: RefSeq, a predicted model, not a curated record
UGGUAGUCAUGGAUUGCACAAAAGAAGAAGGUUACAAGAAUUUGCGGUUGCGGGCAUGGAGUGACACAAAACCAAUAGUGGACAUUAAUUGUAUACUACGCUAAAGUGAUAGGAAACCGAUCUUCACUAGCAGAGCAAUUAGCAUGUCUGACGUGUGAAAAUGCUAUAUUGGAACCAUUACAUGCUUCCCUAGUUGUAUCAAUAAUUAUAAUUGGAGAGAAUCAUUGACAGGGCCUUUAUCGAAAAGUGAUGGAUAUUGAAACCAAACUUUUUUUUGUGUAAGUGCUACCCUAUUUAUAGAUAGAAGUGAUAUAAUUGCUCUUAUAACGAGACUUGGUACUUAAUAUUUGUUUAUUCCCUUCUCUUAUAUUUGUCUCCCAUCACUUUAUUAUUAACUUGGA